RNAcentral lists this ribosomal RNA (254 nucleotides) under uncultured bacterium. Its description in RNAcentral is "partial 16S ribosomal RNA". It matches the Rfam family "Bacterial small subunit ribosomal RNA", at positions 524 to 776 of the family's 1533-position model. The record is from RNAcentral. RNAcentral also lists the same sequence under 1 other name.
CACGUAGGGGGCGAGCGUUGUCCGGAUUUAUUGGGCGUAAAGAGCUCGUAGGCGGCUCGGUAAGUCGGGUGUGAAAACUCGGGGCUCAACCCCGAGACGCCACUCGAUACUGCUGUGGCUUGAGUCCGGUAGGGGAGCGUGGAAUUCCUGGUGUAGCGGUGAAAUGCGCAGAUAUCAGGAGGAACACCGGUGGCGAAGGCGGCGCUCUGGGCCGGUACUGACGCUGAGGAGCGAAAGCGUGGGGAGCAAACAGG